This 1507-nucleotide ribosomal RNA is filed under the name metagenome. RNAcentral describes it as "bacterial LSU rRNA". It matches the Rfam family "Bacterial large subunit ribosomal RNA", at positions 1276 to 2911 of the family's 2925-position model. The record is from RNAcentral.
UAGCAUUCAGAAGUGAGAAUGUUGACAUGAGUAGCGAUAAAGAGUGUGAGAGACACUCUCGCCGAAAGUCCAAGGGUUCCUGCUUAAAGCUAAUCUGAGCAGGGUGAGCCGACCCCUAAGGCGAGGCCGAAAGGCGUAGUCGAUGGGAACCAGGUUAAUAUUCCUGGGCCAGGAGGAAGUGACGGAUCGCAAAGCUUGUUCGCCCUUAUCGGAUUGGGCGGGCCUGUCAGCGGUUCCUGGAAAUAGCCCUCCAUGAGAUCGUACCCUAAACCGACACAGGUGGACUGGUAGAGCAUACCAAGGCGCUUGAGAGAACUGCGUUGAAGGAACUCGGCAAAAUGCCUCCGUAACUUCGGGAGAAGGAGGCCCCGUCCGUGGGCAACCAUGGGCGGGGGGCACAAACUAGGGGGUGGCGACUGUUUACUAAGAACACAGGACUCUGCGAAGCCCAAAGGCGACGUAUAGGGUCUGACGCCUGCCCGGUGCUGGAAGGUUAAAGGGAGGGGUGCAAGCUCCGAACUGAAGCCCCAGUAAACGGCGGCCGUAACGAUAACGGUCCUAAGGUAGCGAAAUUCCUUGUCGGGUAAGUUCCGACCUGCACGAAUGGCGUAACGACAUCCCCGCUGUCUCCAACGCAGACUCAGCGAAAUUGAACUCCCCGUGAAGAUGCGGGGUUCCCGCGGUCAGACGGAAAGACCCCGUGCACCUUUACUACAGCUUCACACUGGCAUCAGGCCAGGCAUGUGCAGGAUAGGUGGCAGGCUUUGAAGCGGGGACGCCAGUUCCCGUGGAGCCGUCCUUGAGAUAUCACCCUUGCCUUGCCUGAUGUCUAACCGCGGACCGUCAUCCGGUUCCGGGACCCUGUGUGGCGGGUAGUUUGACUGGGGCGGUCGCCUCCCAAAUAGUAACGGAGGCGCGCGAUGGUGGGCUCAGGUUGGUCGGAAAUCAACCGUCGAGUGCAAUGGCAUAAGCCCGCCUGACUGCGAGACUGACAAGUCGAGCAGAGACGAAAGUCGGCCAUAGUGAUCCGGUGGUCCCGCGUGGAAGGGCCAUCGCUCAACGGAUAAAAGGUACGCCGGGGAUAACAGGCUGAUACUGCCCAAGAGUCCAUAUCGACGGCAGUGUUUGGCACCUCGAUGUCGGCUCAUCACAUCCUGGGGCUGGAGAAGGUCCCAAGGGUACGGCUGUUCGCCGUUUAAAGUGGUACGUGAGCUGGGUUUAGAACGUCGUGAGACAGUUCGGUCCCUAUCUGCCGUGGGUGUCGGAGACUUGAGAGGAGUUGCCCCUAGUACGAGAGGACCGGGGUGAACGUUCCACUGGUGGACCUGUUGUCGUGCCAACGGCAGUGCAGGGUAGCUAUGAACGGACAGGAUAACCGCUGAAGGCAUCUAAGCGGGAAGCCCCCCUCAAAACCAGGUCUCCCUUGAGGGCCGUGGAAGACCACCACGUCGAUAGGCCGGAGGUGUAAGCGCAGCAAUGCGUUCAGCUGACCGGUACUAAUCGCCCG